GUUUUAAUAAUUUAAAUAAAAUAUUGGUCUUGUAAACCAAAAAUAAGUCUUGCUUUUAAAACA
RNAcentral lists this transfer RNA (63 nucleotides) under Epicauta impressicornis. RNAcentral's name for it is "tRNA-Thr". Lineage: Eukaryota; Metazoa; Arthropoda; Insecta; Coleoptera; Meloidae. The record is from RNAcentral.